GGGACUAUAGCUAAACGGUUAGAGCGCCAUCUUGAUAAGAUGGAUGUCCAAGUUCAAGCCUUGGUAGUCCUA
This is a non-coding RNA of Jimgerdemannia flammicorona, 72 nucleotides long. Lineage: Eukaryota; Fungi; Mucoromycota; Endogonomycetes; Endogonales; Endogonaceae. The record is from the annotation of a GenBank genome assembly.